AGGUCUGUGGUUUCGGCGUCUCUGUCUCUCCAAGUCAACUCCACGGUGUGUUACGGGUAAUAAUGACAGCCGGGCACUUUAGCCAAUUCCUGAUCUGAUGAGGUUGUCAGAACUACUUAAAAAUGGAAAAUGAAGAAACUUGACAACCGCAGCAACUCUUCUGGGGCUUCCCAGGGGAUCUGCUUGAGCUGCUGCUCGGCCGUGACCCAUUAGGACUCUCUGCCACACCCCGAGUCCAUGCUUGGACCCCAGGCCCGGCUCUGCUACCGGCCUCCUCCACCAUCCGGCUUGGCUCUGCUACCAGCCCUGCUUCAAUAAAAGCUAUCUAUUCAA
Long non-coding RNA from Osmerus eperlanus (European smelt), 333 nucleotides. RefSeq lists it as uncharacterized. The transcript is spliced from 2 exons. The record is from RefSeq and is a predicted model, not a curated record. Lineage: Eukaryota; Metazoa; Chordata; Actinopteri; Osmeriformes; Osmeridae.